UACGUAGGGCGCAAGCGUUUGUCCGGAAUUAUUGGGCGUAAAGAGCUCGUAGGCGGUUUGUCGCGUCUGCUGUGAAAACCUAAGGCUCAACCUUGGGCUUGCAGUGGGUACGGGCAGACUAGAGUGCGGUAGGGGUGACUGGAAUUCCUGGUGUAGCGGUGGAAUGCGCAGAUAUCAGGAGGAACACCGGUGGCGAAGGCGGGUCUCUGGGGCCGAUACUGACGCUGAGGAGCGAAAGCGUGGGGAGCAAACAGG
RNAcentral lists this ribosomal RNA (255 nucleotides) under uncultured bacterium. RNAcentral describes it as "partial 16S ribosomal RNA". It matches the Rfam family "Bacterial small subunit ribosomal RNA", at positions 524 to 776 of the family's 1533-position model. The record is from RNAcentral.